Molecule: non-coding RNA, 238 nt
Filed under: Sphaeroforma arctica JP610
Lineage: Eukaryota; Ichthyosporea; Ichthyophonida
Description: Eukaryotic small subunit ribosomal RNA
Rfam family: Eukaryotic small subunit ribosomal RNA
Source: Rfam by way of RNAcentral
GUAUGUAUGUUUGUUUGUAUGUUUGUACGCAUAUAUAUAUAUAUAUAUGUAUAAAUAUAUAUAUAUAUAGAGCUAAUACAUGCGAAAAUGCCCGACUUCGGAAGGGCUGUAUUUAUUAGAUACAAAACCAAUGCGCUUCGGCGGUUUCUUGGUGAUCCAUAAUAACUUUUUGGAUCGCAUGGCCUUGUGCCGGCGACGUUUCAUUCAAAUUUCUGCCCUAUCAACUUUCGAUGGUAAG